UAACAAAUUUUUAAGAGCAAACGGUGAAUGCCUUGGCAUGUAGAGCCGAAGAAGGACGUAGUAAUCUGCGAUAAGCCUCGGGGAGUUGAUAAACGAACUGUGAUCCGAGGAUGUCCGAAUGGGGAAACCCCGCCAGGCCCGUGAGGUGACCUGGUGACUCCCGCCUGAAUAUAUAGGGCGGGUAGAGGGAACGUGGGGAAGUGAAACAUCUCAGUACCCACAGGAAGAGAAAACAACAGUGAUUCCGUUAGUAGUGGCGAGCGAACCCGGAUGAGGCUAAACCGAUCAUGUGUGAUAGCCGGUAGGCGUUGCAUGGUCGGGGUUGCGGGACUUUUCUACUAAUUCUACCGAAUGGUAAGGGUUAGAGCGUUGUAUAGACGAACAGGAUUGAAAGCC
Molecule: ribosomal RNA, 396 nt
Filed under: Spirochaetaceae bacterium
Lineage: Bacteria; Pseudomonadati; Spirochaetota; Spirochaetia; Spirochaetales; Spirochaetaceae
Description: partial 23S ribosomal RNA
Rfam family: Bacterial large subunit ribosomal RNA
Source: RNAcentral